UUGAACGCUGGUGGCAGGCUUAACACAUGCAAGUCGAACGGUAACAGGAAUUAGCUUGCUAAUUUGCUGACGAGUGGCGGACGGGUGAGUAAUGCUUGGGAAUCUGGCUUAUGGAGGGGGAUAACUACGGGAAACUGUAGCUAAUACCGCGUAAAAUCUUCGGAUUAAAGGGUGGGACUUUCGAGCCACCUGCCAUAAGAUGAGCCCAAGUGGGAUUAGGUAGUUGGUUAGGUAAAGGCUGACCAAGCCGACGAUCUCUAGCUGGUCUGAGAGGAUGACCAGCCACACUGGAACUGAGACACGGUCCAGACUCCUACGGGAGGCAGCAGUGGGGAAUAUUGCACAAUGGGGGGAACCCUGAUGCAGCCAUGCCGCGUGAAUGAAGAAGGCCUUCGGGUUGUAAAGUUCUUUCGGUGACGAGGAAGGUUGAUAGGUUAAUAGCCUAUCAAAUUGACGUUAAUCACAGAAGAAGCACCGGCUAACUCCGUG
Molecule: ribosomal RNA, 489 nt
Filed under: uncultured bacterium
Lineage: Bacteria
Description: partial 16S ribosomal RNA
Rfam family: Bacterial small subunit ribosomal RNA
Source: RNAcentral